UGGGGAAUAUUGCACAAUGGGGGGAAACCCUGAUGCAGCAACGCCGCGUGAAGGAUGAAGGCCCUUGGGUCGUAAACUUCUGUUCUAAGGGAAGAUAAUGACGGUACCUUAGGAGCAAGUCCCGGCUAACUACGUGCCAGCAGCCGCGGUAAUACGUAGGGGGCAAGCGUUAUCCGGAAUUAUUGGGCGUAAAGCGUGCGUAGGUGGUUUCCUAAGCAUGGGGUAUAAGGCAAUGGCUUAACCAUUGUUCGCCCCAUGAACUGGGUGACUUGAGUUCUGGAGAGGAAAGCGGAAUUCCUAGUGUAGCGGUGAAAUGCGUAGAUAUUAGGAGGAACACCAGUGGCGAAGGCGGCUUUCUGGACAGAUACUGACACUGAGGCACGAAAGUGUGGGGAGCAAACAGGAUUAGAUACCCUGGUAGU
RNAcentral lists this ribosomal RNA (422 nucleotides) under uncultured Eubacterium sp. Its description in RNAcentral is "bacterial SSU rRNA". It matches the Rfam family "Bacterial small subunit ribosomal RNA", at positions 355 to 794 of the family's 1533-position model. Lineage: Bacteria; Bacillati; Bacillota; Clostridia; Eubacteriales; Eubacteriaceae. The record is from RNAcentral.